RNAcentral lists this ribosomal RNA (252 nucleotides) under uncultured bacterium. Its description in RNAcentral is "partial 16S ribosomal RNA". It matches the Rfam family "Bacterial small subunit ribosomal RNA", at positions 524 to 776 of the family's 1533-position model. The record is from RNAcentral.
UACGUAGGUCCCGAGCGUUGUCCGGAUUUAUUGGGCGUAAAGCGAGCGCAGGUGGUUUAUUAAGUCUGGUGUAAAAGGCAGUGGCUCAACCAUUGUAUGCAUUGGAAACUGGUAGACUUGAGUGCAGGAGAGGAGAGUGGAAUUCCAUGUGUAGCGAUGAAAUGCGUAGAUAUAUGGAGGAACACCGGUGGCGAAAGCGGCUCUCUGGCCUAUAACUGACACUGAGGCUCGAAAGCGUGGGGAGCAAACAGG